AUCACGUUAAAUGCAUUUAUGGUGAAAUUCAUUAUGAGGGGUGGUGGUCAACUUAAAAAGAAGCCAUUCAAAGCUAUACUAUGUAAUUCAAGUGGACUUCUCUGUAAGAACAUCAGGUUUUACCAGAAAUACCACUUUUACAAAGUUUACAGGGUCUUUCUCAAGGGCACCGCUAAUCUAACAUAUAUUCUUUGUCACAAUCUAGACUCUUCAUAGAAGAUGAAGACUUGCCAUGAUCAAGAAUACCAGCUAUUUGCUGAAGUUCAUCUUUCAAAACGAACAGCAUGGAGUACAGUACUCAUCAGAUGCUGUGAACAGGUGUAGCCCAAAUGCAACAGAUUCAGACUUUGAUGCAGCAAUGGCAGAUCACCUGAAGCACACUGGGGUUGAUGGAUACUUGUUUUAUGGCUGUUUUAACAGUAAUACAAGACUGUUAGGAAAUAAUUUGGUAGUGCCAUAGCUCUGACUUUUAACCAUUAAUGGUGGAACACAUGAAUCACACUCCCGGAAGAGCCGGUGGUCGGGGACCAAGAAAAUGAGUAAACAUUUUGAAAAAAAUGGACUAAAGUAGUGUCAUAUGUUUUUGUAAUACUGUACUUUUGUCAUUUUCAUGUUUGAUUAAUGGCUGCUAAACAUCAAUGUUAAACUCCAUUGCUUUCGAGAUUCUACUAUUUUUAUUUUCUUGUUUGAAUAGUAGCUGUCAAACAAAUGGAAGACCAUUCAAAAAUGUGAUGUUCACUAUAAAAUAUGCUGUGCUAAAUUAAAACACUAAAUUUUGCCUAAAUCCACAAAUAAAGUGUUAUUGUUUGUGAUGUGCA
Long non-coding RNA from Triplophysa dalaica, 818 nucleotides. RefSeq lists it as uncharacterized. The transcript has 3 exons. The record is from RefSeq and is a predicted model, not a curated record. Lineage: Eukaryota; Metazoa; Chordata; Actinopteri; Cypriniformes; Nemacheilidae.